Long non-coding RNA from Anopheles stephensi (Asian malaria mosquito), 1630 nucleotides. RefSeq lists it as uncharacterized. The record is from RefSeq and is a predicted model, not a curated record. NCBI's taxonomy places the organism in Eukaryota, Metazoa, Arthropoda, Insecta, Diptera, Culicidae. The transcript has 2 exons.
UGGUUGGAAAAAUGACACGAUCCCCGAUCUUCUUCGCCAUCGCCAUUUUCGAGGAUCGUCUGCAAUGAAGGCGACACAAGCCAUCACAACAAAAAAAACAGCAUAGUCUCACCCAGGCAAGUUCUAUUCGAUUGGGCUGGUCAUUCCUUACUUUGCGCCGCUGCUGCUGAGUUGGCGUAAUUGUGUGUUUGCUUGAAAAACAACGCGAGUCACGCAGGCCCGACCAUACUACGCCAACAACUACGACUCCCGCGUACACGACUUCAUCCCGACCGCAAUUUACCGACCGUCGAAUAAUGGACGGUGGCGAGGCAGCAGCAGAAAAAAAGGGCUGGCGUUUGCCAUCCAUCUGUCUUCCCGUGUUCAUCGCCUUCAUCGACUCGCCUGGUGACGAAGCCUACUCUGCUUGCGGGAUAAUUAAAUCCAUUUGUCCGUGCAACGCAAACUCGAUCGAGAGCAAGAUGUAAAUCCGGCGUAGCGAACGGGCGUUUUCAAUUUGCGAUCGUGUGUUGAUUUAAAGCUUAUCAGUUACACCGUACUCCCACACAGGCCGUACGAAAUGGCACAAACAGCUUAUAGAUCAGCCUUCGAUUGAAAAGAAAUGCAUCAUCCUCCGCUUAUGGACAGGCCUCGAAAGGGCGAUCAUAUCGCUAGGAAACGCUCAGCUCGAAGGUGAUGCUGGCAUCGUAAUCGGGGAUGAAAUUUUGUUUUCAUCUUCCAUUCGUCCACCACCUGCGCACCCCAGCAUACCCCAGGCCCGUCCCGUACAGAGAGCAUGGACGUUGUUUACAUGCAAACAGCAACAGACUCCGGAACUGACAGAGAUGCAACAAAAACAUUAUCUCGGUCACUCUCAAACCAAUCGCGAGAUCGAGAUCGGCGGUGGUGGGAACAGAGCAUCUAGGAAGCCACCACCACGAACGCGGCUGUCGGUUGUAACUUUCUACACUACUUGUUUCUACUCUGCCUCGGUGGCCACUUGAACGACGAUUACACUCUCGAACACAAACCUGUGGAAUGCACACGGAAUCGUCACAUUAACACAAACGGCCCCUUUACUUUACCAGUCGGCAGGUAAAUCUGCUUGUUCAGACUGCAGGUCCUUCAAACAGCGACAUUCGGCAACCAGCCAUUGGCCAUCAGGAGGACGACACGCAAAAGGAAUUCCCUCCCUCCGAGGGGCACUUGUUGCACGGUCGCGGGGUGGUUCAGUAGGGUUGGGGUGGGUGCACUGGUGCGCCUGCCUUAUCAAUGUCUUCCCGUUCCAGAAAGAUACGACACGGCACAAACACAAAAACACUGUGCGUUCCGGGACAAGUGCGAUUGAACGGCGAUGAAUAAACGGAGCACCAUGACGCAACGGCACAACGAUCACACAGACACCGAACAACAACGACGACGACGACGACCACGGUGACAACGAACGAUAUUCCUAUGCGAGCUGCAUGAGCUGUUGUUCCUGCUGCCUCUGCCCACAACGCACAGGCUACGAUCGCGCAAACCGAUCCUCGACUUCAUUGUGCCGAUGUGGAGCAUACUUUUACCUUCCAGUUUAAAAACAAUAACACCUCCCUACACUACGGAGCGAAGGGACUACAAAUAUUUACAACAAAAAAUUACAUAAAACAAC